Molecule: ribosomal RNA, 253 nt
Filed under: uncultured bacterium
Lineage: Bacteria
Description: partial 16S ribosomal RNA
Rfam family: Bacterial small subunit ribosomal RNA
Source: RNAcentral
UACGUAGGGGGCUAGCGUUGUCCGGAUUUAUUGGGCGUAAAGCGCGUGUAGGCGGUCCGGUAAGUCCGCUGUGAAAGUCGGGGGCUCAACCCUCGGAUGCCGGUGGAUACUGUCGGGCUUGAGUACGGAAGAGGCGAGUGGAAUUCCUGGUGUAGCGGUGAAAUGCGCAGAUAUCAGGAGGAACACCAAUUGCGAAGGCAGCUCGCUGGGACGUUACUGACGCUGAGGCGCGAAAGCGUGGGGAGCAAACAGG